AGUCGUCUAAAACUCCGCAAUCAGGCACACGUUCGACUCCAUCUAAAACCACAGCUUUUUUUAGAAGAUUUUUUUGGUAUCACUUCUAUUUAAAUUAUUUACCUCACUGUAUUUUUUAGUUCACGUUCGUGUUUGUCUGUUUGUCUUGCUCUUAUGGGGUGUUUCCACAGGCUUUUGCGAGGAAAGUGCCGGAGAAUUCAGGCGUCAAACCAAACGGCUUCUCUGUGGACUAAUGGAGCUGAAAGCUGAUGAUGAUGAUGAUCGAGAAAAUAUCAUGCAAACAUCAUUUGCCAUCAGUGAAAGCAGAUCUAGAGAUAAGAGGCUCAAAGGGGACUGAGCAACUCGCUUUCGACACAUCUGAGGAGUCCACUGAAAGAGCUAAUAACGGGAUCAAGGGUAUGCAUUUCCACCAUAUGAUAUCAAGAAAGCGCUUCCCCAACAGAUGUUUUGAGAUCAACACAAUAUACUUGCGAUGAACUUCAAUGUUUGUGUGUUUUUGAGGGUACAUCUAUAGUAUGACUCUGAAACAGUCAGUACAUUUCCAUCGACAACAAUGUUUUUGAUGCCAUGUGUUGUGAUGCCAUGAUUCAUUUAACACUUUGAUUAAGAAUUCAUUACGUAAACAGGGAUUUUUCAUUACCUUAAUCCAGUUCAGUUCAUACUUAGUUAAGUAAUCACGAGUCUAAUGGGAUGUUGAGUAUAGACCCUUUUCACAUUUACAGGUUUCUUAGUAGCGGAAGUCAUCAAAGUUGAGAGAACUUAGACCGCAAUGAAUGGGAGAAUACGACAAUUUUUUUUUACAAUGUUAUU
Molecule: long non-coding RNA, 810 nt
Filed under: Danio rerio (zebrafish)
Lineage: Eukaryota; Metazoa; Chordata; Actinopteri; Cypriniformes; Danionidae
Description: lncRNA si:dkey-248g17.3 (ENSDARG00000092272.4)
Source: RNAcentral